Molecule: ribosomal RNA, 253 nt
Filed under: uncultured bacterium
Lineage: Bacteria
Description: partial 16S ribosomal RNA
Rfam family: Bacterial small subunit ribosomal RNA
Source: RNAcentral
UACGUAGGGUGCGAGCGUUAAUCGGAAUUACUGGGCGUAAAGCGUGCGCAGGCGGUUUUGUAAGCCAGAUGUGAAAUCCCCGGGCUCAACCUGGGAAUGGCAUUUGGGACUGCAAGGCUGGAGUGUGGCAGAGGAGACUGGAAUUCCUGGUGUAGCAGUGAAAUGCGUAGAUAUCAGAAGGAACAUCAGUGGCGAAAGCGGCUUCCUGGUCCAGUACCGACGUUCAGGCACGAAAGCGUGGGGAGCAAACAGG